Hypanus sabinus (Atlantic stingray) is the source of this 148-nucleotide long non-coding RNA. RefSeq lists it as uncharacterized. The record is from RefSeq and is a predicted model, not a curated record. Lineage: Eukaryota; Metazoa; Chordata; Chondrichthyes; Myliobatiformes; Dasyatidae. The transcript has 3 exons.
UCAUCUUCUAAAGCAGCAGUAUAAUGCAAGACAUUAAAGUUACUACAAAUUACAAAAUAAAUAAAUACCGCAAAAGAUGAAUAAUGAGGUAGUGUUCAUUGCUUCAUGAACCAUUCAGAAAUAUGAAGGGUGAUCCACUAUCAGCGGC